Molecule: ribosomal RNA, 440 nt
Filed under: uncultured bacterium
Lineage: Bacteria
Description: partial 16S ribosomal RNA
Rfam family: Bacterial small subunit ribosomal RNA
Source: RNAcentral
CCUACGGGAGGCAGCAGUGGGGAAUAUUGCACAAUGGGGGAAACCCUGAUGCAGCGACGCCGCGUGAGUGAAGAAGCGCCUCGGCGCGUAAAGCUCUGUCAGCAGGAACGAUAAUGACGGUACCUGAAGAAGAAGCCCCGGCUAACUACGUGCCAGCAGCCGCGGUAAUCCGUAGGGGGCACGCGUUAUCCGGAUUUACUGGGUGUAAAGGGAGCGUAGACGGCGGGGCAAGUCUGGCGUGAAAGGCCGGGGCCCAACCCCGGGACCGCACGGGAAACUGCCCGGCUGGAGUGCGGGAGAGGUGAGCAGAAUUCCUGGUGUAGCGGUGAAAUGCGGAGAUAGUAGGAGGAACACCAGCGGCGAAGGCGGCUUACUGGACCGAGACUGACGUGGAGGCGCGAAAGCGUGGGGAGCAAACAGGAUUAGAUACCCUGGUAGUC